Long non-coding RNA from Anolis carolinensis (green anole), 1034 nucleotides. RefSeq lists it as uncharacterized. Lineage: Eukaryota; Metazoa; Chordata; Lepidosauria; Squamata; Anolidae. The record is from RefSeq and is a predicted model, not a curated record. The transcript has 2 exons.
UUAGAUCGCUGAACGUGGGGGCGUGAGCGUACGCGCUGACGUCAUCCACCCUCCAACAUGUUUUGGACUCCACUUCCCAGAGUUCUCUCCCAUUGGCGAGCCCAAGCAGAGGCUUCUGGGAGUUGGAGUCCCAAAACCGCUGAACGGGGAACGCUUGGUCCAAUGGGGAAACCGCUCUCAAGGCGUCAGGAGAGCAGGAGGCCUGGAUGGGCAGGGCGCCAUUUCUUGUCCAUUGUGGGGGCCAAAAUGGCGCCUGCUCAAUCUUAAAGGUGAAGAGUCGUUUAAAUAGCUUAGAAUAAGGCAGAAAAGGAAACUCUGUAGGGGUGUUAGCUCUUCCUUAUUGCUAUCCAAAGCUAUUUGGCUGGAGUUGAACUUAAAAAAUGGAUGUGAACACCUGUGGAAUGUCCAGGUUUCCAACAGACCUCACAACCUCUGAGAAUGCUUGCCAUAGAUGUGGGCAAAACAUCAGGAGAGAAUGCUUCUAGAACAUGGCCACACAGCCCGGAAAACUCACAGCAAACCAGUGAUUCUGGCCAUAAAAGCCUUCAACAACAUAUCAGCAAUAUGUUUUAUAUACAGUAGAGUCUCACUAAUCCAAGCUAAACGGGCCGGCAGAAGAUUGGAUAAGCGAAUAUCUUGGAUAAUAAGGAGGGAUUAAGGAAAAGCCUGUUAAACAUCAAAUUAGGUUAUGAUUUUACAAAUUAAGCACCAAAACAUCAUGUUUUACGACAAAUUUGACAGAAAAAGCAGUUCAAUAUGCAGUAAUGUUAUGUUGUAAUUACUGUAUUUACGAAUUUAGCACCAAAAUAUCACGAUAUAUUGAAAACAUUGACUACAAAAAUAGCUUGGAUAAUCCAGAACGUUGGAUAAGUGAGACUCUAUUGUAUUACAAUAUAGUAAUUUAACGCUUAUAUUGUGCUAUGCUAAUAAUAUAUUGUAUGUACAUUUGAUUUGUAAGCCGCUCUGAGUCCCCUUCGGGGUGAGAAGAGCGGGAUAUAAAUGUAAUAAAUAAAUAAAUAAAUAAGUGUAUAUGA